RNAcentral lists this ribosomal RNA (427 nucleotides) under uncultured bacterium. RNAcentral's name for it is "bacterial SSU rRNA". It matches the Rfam family "Bacterial small subunit ribosomal RNA", at positions 376 to 793 of the family's 1533-position model. The record is from RNAcentral.
CGCAAGCCUGAUGCAGCCAUGCCGCGUGUAUGAAGUAAGGCCUUCGGGUUGUAAAGUACUUUCAGCAGUGAGGAAGGUGGGUAUGUUAAUAGCAUAUUCAUUUGACGUUUAGCUGCAGAAGAAGCACCGGCUAACUCCGUGCCCAGCAGCCGCGGUAAUACGGAGGGUGCGAGCGUUAAUCGGAAUUACUGGGCGUAAAGCGCAUGCAGGUGGUUUGUUAAGUCAGAUGUGAAAGCCCGGGGCUCAACCUCGGAAUUGCAUUUGAAACUGGCAAACUAGAGUACUGUAGAGGGGGUAGAAUUUCAGGUGUAGCGGUGAAAUGCGUAGAGAUCUGAAGGAAUACCGGUGGCGAAGGCGGCCCCCUGGACAGAUACUGACACUCAGAUGCGAAAGCGUGGGGAGCAAACAGGAUUAGAUACCCUGGUAG